GGGUUGUGAGGUUAAGCGACUAAGCGUACACGGUGGAUGCCCUGGCAGUCAGAGGCGAUGAAGGACGUGCUAAUCUGCGAUAAGCGUCGGUAAGGUGAUAUGAACCGUUAUAACCGGCGAUUUCCGAAUGGGGAAACCCAGUGUGUUUCGACACACUAUCAUUAACUGAAUCCAUAGGUUAAUGAGGCGAACCGGGGGAACUGAAACAUCUAAGUACCCCGAGGAAAAGAAAUCAACCGAGAUUCCCCCAGUAGCGGCGAGCGAACGGGGAGCAGCCCAGAGCCUGAAUCAGUGUGUGUGUUAGUGGAAGCGUCUGGAAAGGCGCGCGAUACAGGGUGACAGCCCCGUACACAAAAAUGCACAUACUGUGAGCUCGAUGAGUAGGGCGGGACACGUGGUAUCCUGUCUGAAUAUGGGGGGACCAUCCUCCAAGGCUAAAUACUCCUGACUGACCGAUAGUGAACCAGUACCGUGAGGGAAAGGCGAAAAGAACCCCGGCGAGGGGAGUGAAAAAGAACCUGAAACCGUGUACGUACAAGCAGUGGGAGCCUCUUAAUGGGGUGACUGCGUACCUUUUGUAUAAUGGGUCAGCGACUUAUAUUCUGUAGCAAGGUUAACCGAAUAGGGGAGCCGAAGGGAAACCGAGUCUUAACUGGGCGUUAAGUUGCAGGGUAUAGACCCGAAACCCGGUGAUCUAGCCAUGGGCAGGUUGAAGGUUGGGUAACACUAACUGGAGGACCGAACCGACUAAUGUUGAAAAAUUAGCGGAUGACUUGUGGCUGGGGGUGAAAGGCCAAUCAAACCGGGAGAUAGCUGGUUCUCCCCGAAAGCUAUUUAGGUAGCGCCUCGUGAAUUCAUCUCCGGGGGUAGAGCACUGUUUCGGCAAGGGGGUCAUCCCGACUUACCAACCCGAUGCAAACUGCGAAUACCGGAGAAUGUUAUCACGGGAGACACACGGCGGGUGCUAACGUCCGUCGUGAAGAGGGAAACAACCCAGACCGCCAGCUAAGGUCCCAAAGUCAUGGUUAAGUGGGAAACGAUGUGGGAAGGCCCAGACAGCCAGGAUGUUGGCUUAGAAGCAGCCAUCAUUUAAAGAAAGCGUAAUAGCUCACUGGUCGAGUCGGCCUGCGCGGAAGAUGUAACGGGGCUAAACCAUGCACCGAAGCUGCGGCAGCGACACUGUGUGUUGUUGGGUAGGGGAGCGUUCUGUAAGCCUGUGAAGGUGUACUGUGAGGUAUGCUGGAGGUAUCAGAAGUGCGAAUGCUGACAUAAGUAACGAUAAAGCGGGUGAAAAGCCCGCUCGCCGGAAGACCAAGGGUUCCUGUCCAACGUUAAUCGGGGCAGGGUGAGUCGACCCCUAAGGCGAGGCCGAAAGGCGUAGUCGAUGGGAAACAGGUUAAUAUUCCUGUACUUGGUGUUACUGCGAAGGGGGGACGGAGAAGGCUAUGUUGGCCGGGCGACGGUUGUCCCGGUUUAAGCGUGUAGGCUGGUUUUCCAGGCAAAUCCGGAAAAUCAAGGCUGAGGCGUGAUGACGAGGCACUACGGUGCUGAAGCAACAAAUGCCCUGCUUCCAGGAAAAGCCUCUAAGCAUCAGGUAACAUCAAAUCGUACCCCAAACCGACACAGGUGGUCAGGUAGAGAAUACCAAGGCGCUUGAGAGAACUCGGGUGAAGGAACUAGGCAAAAUGGUGCCGUAACUUCGGGAGAAGGCACGCUGAUAUGUAGGUGAAGUCCCUUGCGGAUGGAGCUGAAAUCAGUCGAAGAUACCAGCUGGCUGCAACUGUUUAUUAAAAACACAGCACUGUGCAAACACGAAAGUGGACGUAUACGGUGUGACGCCUGCCCGGUGCCGGAAGGUUAAUUGAUGGGGUUAGCGGUAACGCGAAGCUCUUGAUCGAAGCCCCGGUAAACGGCGGCCGUAACUAUAACGGUCCUAAGGUAGCGAAAUUCCUUGUCGGGUAAGUUCCGACCUGCACGAAUGGCGUAAUGAUGGCCAGGCUGUCUCCACCCGAGACUCAGUGAAAUUGAACUCGCUGUGAAGAUGCAGUGUACCCGCGGCAAGACGGAAAGACCCCGUGAACCUUUACUAUAGCUUGACACUGAACAUUGAGCCUUGAUGUGUAGGAUAGGUGGGAGGCUUUGAAGUGUGGACGCCAGUCUGCAUGGAGCCGGCCUUGAAAUACCACCCUUUAAUGUUUGAUGUUCUAACGUUGGCCCCUGAUCGGGGUUGCGGACAGUGUCUGGUGGGUAGUUUGACUGGGGCGGUCUCCUCCUAAAGAGUAACGGAGGAGCACGAAGGUUGGCUAAUCCUGGUCGGACAUCAGGAGGUUAGUGCAAUGGCAUAAGCCAGCUUGACUGCGAGCGUGACGGCGCGAGCAGGUGCGAAAGCAGGUCAUAGUGAUCCGGUGGUUCUGAAUGGAAGGGCCAUCGCUCAACGGAUAAAAGGUACUCCGGGGAUAACAGGCUGAUACCGCCCAAGAGUUCAUAUCGACGGCGGUGUUUGGCACCUCGAUGUCGGCUCAUCACAUCCUGGGGCUGAAGUAGGUCCCAAGGGUAUGGCUGUUCGCCAUUUAAAGUGGUACGCGAGCUGGGUUUAGAACGUCGUGAGACAGUUCGGUCCCUAUCUGCCGUGGGCGCUGGAGAACUGAGGGGGGCUGCUCCUAGUACGAGAGGACCGGAGUGGACGCAUCACUGGUGUUCGGGUUGUCAUGCCAAUGGCACUGCCCGGUAGCUAAAUGCGGAAGAGAUAAGUGCUGAAAGCAUCUAAGCACGAAACUUGCCCCGAGAUGAGUUCUCCCUGACUCCUUGAGAGUCCUGAAGGAACGUUGAAGACGACGACGUUGAUAGGCCGGGUGUGUAAGCGCAGCGAUGCGUUGAGCUAACCGGUACUAAUGAACCGUGAGGCUUAACCUUACAACGCCGAAGGUGUUU
This 2931-nucleotide ribosomal RNA is filed under the name Escherichia coli. Its description in RNAcentral is "23S ribosomal RNA". It matches the Rfam family "Bacterial large subunit ribosomal RNA". The record is from RNAcentral. Lineage: Bacteria; Pseudomonadati; Pseudomonadota; Gammaproteobacteria; Enterobacterales; Enterobacteriaceae.